This 1980-nucleotide ribosomal RNA is filed under the name Staphylococcus simiae. RNAcentral's name for it is "partial 23S ribosomal RNA". It matches the Rfam family "Bacterial large subunit ribosomal RNA", at positions 941 to 2925 of the family's 2925-position model. The record is from RNAcentral. Lineage: Bacteria; Bacillati; Bacillota; Bacilli; Caryophanales; Staphylococcaceae.
GAAUUCAGACAAACUCCGAAUGCCAAUUAAUUUAACUUGGGAGUCAGAACAUGGGUGAUAAGGUCCGUGUUCGAAAGGGAAACAGCCCAGACCACCAGCUAAGGUCCCAAAAUAUAUGUUAAGUGGAAAAGGAUGUGGCGUUGCCCAGACAACUAGGAUGUUGGCUUAGAAGCAGCCAUCAUUUAAAGAGUGCGUAAUAGCUCACUAGUCGAGUGACACUGCGCCGAAAAUGUACCGGGGCUAAACAUAUUACCGAAGCUGUGGAUUGUCCUUUGGACAAUGGUAGGAGAGCGUUCUAAGGGCGGUGAAGCAUGAUCGCAAGGACAUGUGGAGCGCUUAGAAGUGAGAAUGCCGGUGUGAGUAGCGAAAGACGGGUGAGAAUCCCGUCCACCGAUUGACUAAGGUUUCCAGAGGAAGGCUCGUCCGCUCUGGGUUAGUCGGGUCCUAAGCUGAGGCCGACAGGCGUAGGCGAUGGAUAACAGGUUGAUAUUCCUGUACCACCUAUAAUCGUUUUAAUCGAUGGGGGGACGCAGUAGGAUAGGCGAAGCGUGCGAUUGGAUUGCACGUCUAAGCAGUAAGGCUGAGUACUAGGCAAAUCCGGUACUCGUGAAGGCUGAGCUGUGAUGGGGAGAAGACAUUGUGUCUUCGAGUCGUUGAUUUCACACUGCCGAGAAAAGCCUCUAGAUAGAAAAUAGGUGCCCGUACCGCAAACCGACACAGGUAGUCAAGAUGAGAAUUCUAAGGUGAGCGAGCGAACUCUCGUUAAGGAACUCGGCAAAAUGACCCCGUAACUUCGGGAGAAGGGGUGCUCUUUAGGGUUAACGCCCAGAAGAGCCGCAGUGAAUAGGCCCAAGCGACUGUUUAUCAAAAACACAGGUCUCUGCUAAACCGUAAGGUGAUGUAUAGGGGCUGACGCCUGCCCGGUGCUGGAAGGUUAAGAGGAGUGGUUAGCUUCUGCGAAGCUACGAAUCGAAGCCCCAGUAAACGGCGGCCGUAACUAUAACGGUCCUAAGGUAGCGAAAUUCCUUGUCGGGUAAGUUCCGACCCGCACGAAAGGCGUAACGAUUUGGGCACUGUCUCAACGAGAGACUCGGUGAAAUCAUAGUACCUGUGAAGAUGCAGGUUACCCGCGACAGGACGGAAAGACCCCGUGGAGCUUUACUGUAGCCUGAUAUUGAAAUUCGGCACAGCUUGUACAGGAUAGGUAGGAGCCUUUGAAACGUGAGCGCUAGCUUACGUGGAGGCGCUGGUGGGAUACUACCCUAGCUGUGUUGGCUUUCUAACCCGCACCACUUAUCGUGGUGGGAGACAGUGUCAGGCGGGCAGUUUGACUGGGGCGGUCGCCUCCUAAAAGGUAACGGAGGCGCUCAAAGGUUCCCUCAGAAUGGUUGGAAAUCAUUCAUAGAGUGUAAAGGCAUAAGGGAGCUUGACUGCGAGACCUACAAGUCGAGCAGGGUCGAAAGACGGACUUAGUGAUCCGGUGGUUCCGCAUGGAAGGGCCAUCGCUCAACGGAUAAAAGCUACCCCGGGGAUAACAGGCUUAUCUCCCCCAAGAGUUCACAUCGACGGGGAGGUUUGGCACCUCGAUGUCGGCUCAUCGCAUCCUGGGGCUGUAGUCGGUCCCAAGGGUUGGGCUGUUCGCCCAUUAAAGCGGUACGCGAGCUGGGUUCAGAACGUCGUGAGACAGUUCGGUCCCUAUCCGUCGUGGGCGUAGGAAAUUUGAGAGGAGCUGUCCUUAGUACGAGAGGACCGGGAUGGACAUACCUCUGGUGUACCAGUUGUCGUGCCAACGGCAUAGCUGGGUAGCUAUGUAUGGACGGGAUAAGUGCUGAAAGCAUCUAAGCAUGAAGCCCCCCUCAAGAUGAGAUUUCCCAACUUCGGUUAUAAGAUCCCUCAAAGAUGAUGAGGUUAAUAGGUUCGAGGUGGAAGCAUGGUGACAUGUGGAGCUGACGAAUACUAAUCGAUCGAAGACUUAAUCAA